GUCCCCUUCGUCUAGUGGCCUAGGACAUCGCCCUCUCACGGCGAAAACAGGGGUUCGACUCCCCUAGGGGACGCCA
RNAcentral lists this transfer RNA (76 nucleotides) under Rhodospirillaceae bacterium. RNAcentral's name for it is "tRNA-Glu". It matches the Rfam family "tRNA". Rfam says of the family: Transfer RNA (tRNA) molecules are approximately 80 nucleotides in length. Their secondary structure includes four short double-helical elements and three loops (D, anti-codon, and T loops). RNAcentral also lists the same sequence under 6 other names. The record is from RNAcentral. Lineage: Bacteria; Pseudomonadati; Pseudomonadota; Alphaproteobacteria; Rhodospirillales; Rhodospirillaceae.